GACGAACGCUGGCGGCGUGCUUAACACAUGCAAGUCGAACGGAAAGGCGCUGCUUUUGUGUGUUGCUCGGGUGGCGAACUGAGUAGUAACUCGUGAGUAACCUGCCCUUGACGUUGUGAUAACUGCAGGAAACUGGGGCUAAUACCGGAUAGGAGCUCCUGCUGCGUGGUGGGGGUUGGAAAGGUUCGGAGGGUGGGGAUAGACUCGCGGGUUAUCAGCUGGUUGGUGGGGUAGUGGCUUACCCAGUCUUUGGCGGGGAGCCGGCCUGAGAGGGUGACCGGCGACAUUGGGACACAGAUACGGCGCAGACUCCUCUGGGAGGCAGAAGUGGGGAAUAUUUCACACUGGGGGGACGCCUGAUGCAGAAACGUCGCGUGCGGGAUAAAGACCUUCGGGUUGUAAAAAGCUCUCGCAUGAGACGAAGAGAGAGUGACGGUACUGGGAGAAGAAGCAACGGCUAAAUACGUG
This 468-nucleotide ribosomal RNA is filed under the name uncultured bacterium. Its description in RNAcentral is "partial 16S ribosomal RNA". It matches the Rfam family "Bacterial small subunit ribosomal RNA", at positions 28 to 507 of the family's 1533-position model. The record is from RNAcentral.